UUCCCGUAUUUCUUUUAUUGUUGUUGUUGCUACUAGAGUUGUGGGUGAUGCCGCUGUCGUUCCGGUUAUGUUGGAAUGACUACUGCUGUCACGAAUUGGGGAUAGAGGAAAUUGUAACGUUAAAUAAUACAAUUGCGACAUCGAGGAAUUGGAUGAAGGAGCAUUAUGAAGAAUUAUACUGCGUUU
This is a non-coding RNA of Arachis ipaensis, 186 nucleotides long. The record is from RefSeq and is a predicted model, not a curated record. Lineage: Eukaryota; Viridiplantae; Streptophyta; Magnoliopsida; Fabales; Fabaceae.